RNAcentral lists this ribosomal RNA (253 nucleotides) under uncultured bacterium. Its description in RNAcentral is "partial 16S ribosomal RNA". It matches the Rfam family "Bacterial small subunit ribosomal RNA", at positions 524 to 776 of the family's 1533-position model. The record is from RNAcentral.
UACGUAGGGUGCGAGCGUUAAUCGGAAUUACUGGGCGUAAAGCGUGCGUAGGCGGUUCGUUAAGUGCGUCGUGAAAGCCCCGGGCUCAACCUGGGAAUGGCGAUGGAAACGGGCGGGCUGGAGUAUGGCAGAGGGGGGUGGAAUUCCGCGUGUAGCAGUGAAAUGCGUAGAGAUGCGGAGGAACACCGAUGGCGAAGGCCGCCCCCUGGGCCAAUACUGACGCUCAGGCACGAAAGCGUGGGGAGCAAACAGG